RNAcentral lists this ribosomal RNA (468 nucleotides) under uncultured bacterium. RNAcentral describes it as "partial 16S ribosomal RNA". It matches the Rfam family "Bacterial small subunit ribosomal RNA", at positions 28 to 507 of the family's 1533-position model. The record is from RNAcentral.
GACGAACGCUGGCGGCGUGCUUAACACAUGCGAGUCGAACGGAAAGGCCCUGCUUUUGUGGGGUGCUCGAGUGGCGAACGGGUGAGUAACACGUGAGUAACCUGCCCUUGACUUUGGGAUAACUUCAGGAAACUGGGGCUAAUACCGGAUAGGAGCUCCUGCUGCAUGGUGGGGGUUGGAAAGUUUCGGCGGUUGGGGAUGGACUCGCGGCUUAUCAGCUUGUUGGUGGGGUAGUGGCUUACCAAGGCUUUGACGGGUAGCCGGCCUGAGAGGGUGACCGGCCACAUUGGGACUGAGAUACGGCCCAGACUCCUACGGGGGGCAGCAGUGGGGAACAUUGCACAAUGGGCGGAAGCCUGAUGCAGCAACGCCGCGUGCGGGAUGACGGCCUUCGGGUUGUAAACCGCUUUCGCCUGUGACGAAGCGUGAGUGACGGUAAUGGGUAAAGAAGCACCGGCUAACUACGUG